Molecule: transfer RNA, 72 nt
Filed under: Pseudomonadota bacterium
Lineage: Bacteria; Pseudomonadati; Pseudomonadota
Also listed under: 1 other name
Description: tRNA-Met
Rfam family: tRNA
About the family: Transfer RNA (tRNA) molecules are approximately 80 nucleotides in length.
Source: RNAcentral
GGCGACGUAGCUCAGAGGUAGAGCAGGGGUCUCAUAAGCCCCGUGUCGUGGGUUCGAAUCCCACCGUCGCCA